Long non-coding RNA from Spinacia oleracea (spinach), 641 nucleotides. RefSeq lists it as uncharacterized. The record is from RefSeq and is a predicted model, not a curated record. Lineage: Eukaryota; Viridiplantae; Streptophyta; Magnoliopsida; Caryophyllales; Amaranthaceae. The transcript has 4 exons.
AUCUCACGUGAAACCAAAGAAACAACAAAAGAAAAAUCUCUCUCCUUCAUCCUUCACCCUUCACGUGAACCCUCAAACCCUCAAACCUUGCAGCCGCCAGCCACCAGCCACCGCACACCGCCUGCACCACCCUCGCCGUCGGCGUCUCCUCCUUCGUCCGCAACCACCACCCACCUGCGAAAAUGACCGCGACGGCCACCGUCCUGUGUCGUCGCCGACCAACCAGCACCAACUUCGCAAUCCUUCCACACGCAAACAGUCCUCCCUUUGGCUUGCUCCUUGCUCACGGCACCACCACCAACGACCCGAGCAACCCUCGCUGCCACCAUCGACAGCCGCCACCGCCGCUGCCGCGCCAUCUCCGACCGCCGUCCAACCACUCUUCAUUCUUUCUUUUGGUGGAGAAUUCUCCGUAGGCGACUUUUGAAUUAUUAAAGUGGUCUUGCAGUUUGUUUACACAAGUCUCUAAGGAUCAAUAAGCGUUGCCCAUCUACAGGUUUGAAGAUGAUGCAUCAUUGGGAUCGGGAUUAGAGAGCUUGUAGUUCUAUUCGUUUAAUUAAGUGAUUUAAUUUGUUAACUUGGAUUUGAAAUUUGUCGUACUAUUCGUGUUUCCUUAAUUCAGUUAAUUGGUUUGGACCUAA